Molecule: long non-coding RNA, 726 nt
Organism: Anoplophora glabripennis (Asian longhorned beetle)
Lineage: Eukaryota; Metazoa; Arthropoda; Insecta; Coleoptera; Cerambycidae
Exons: 2
Source: RefSeq, a predicted model, not a curated record
AUGAAAUCUACUAUUUGUUGUUCUAUGGUUGACUGUCAAAAGCGUCAAAUUUGGGUUAUGAUAUAUUGCAUAACGCAAAAUACCCAACAAAACUAGAUAAAAGUAUUAUAGAGUAUACAAUGAAAUAUCGGGUAAAUAACCAACCGAAUGGUACCUUUACUACAGCGCUGUAUUACAGGCUUACACAGGAAUGCCUUGUUGGGUUGUACAUAACUCGAAAGAAGUGUGGCACCCUAAGCCAAUUUAUACUACAAGAGUGAGGCUCUUGACGAAAGUAUACAAACAAAGCAAACAUAAGCAGAUCUUAAAACUACAUUCUAACAUGCUAAAUCUUAUAGCUAGUCUUAUCUGUGAGAGUGGUGUGUAGCACAGUUGCCCAGGUCGAAUUCCUCUGGAGCGAUAAAGUUCUAUCUGGGUGAAACGGAGAGUCAAGCGGUACAUGCACCAAUCACUAGGCCUGGGAGGGUGCAGGGUGCAAAGCGGCGUGCAGCAAAGUGUAUGGCCAGCACAAAAUACUCGCACUUUUGUCAUGCAUACCAUGCAGCAAGCAGUAGUGAAGCGGGUUGGUAGUGUGGCAAGAAGGUUGCGAUAGUUUUUAAGUCGGUGUAUGAAGGAGGAGAAUAAGCAGGAUAGAGAAGACACAAAAAAAAGGCCUAAAAGGAAAAGUAAAUGCUACAAAUGUCUACUAGUGUGUACUAAAUUAAUAAAGCGAGUGGUAAAGCUCAA